GAUGAACGCUGGCGGCGUGCCUAAUACAUGCAAGUCGAGCGAACAGACGAUGAGCUUGCUCCUCUGACGUUAGCGGCGGACGGGUGAGUAACACGUGGAUAACCUACCUAUAAGACUGGGAUAACUUCGGGAAACCGGAGCUAAUACCGGAUAAUAUAUUGAACCGCAUUGUUCAAUAGUGAAAGACGGUUUUGCUGUCACUUAUAGAUGGAUCCGCGCCGCAUUAGCUAGUUGGUAAGGUAACGGCUUACCAAGGCAACGAUGCGUAGCCGACCUGAGAGGGUGAUCGGCCACACUGGAACUGAGACACGGUCCAGACUCCUACGGGAGGCAGCAGUAGGGAAUCUUCCGCAAUGGGCGAAAGCUUGACGGAGCAACGCCGCGUGAGUGAUGAAGGUCUUCGGAUCGUAAAACUCUGUUAUUAGGGAAGAACAAAUGUGUAAGUAACUAUGCACGUCUUGACGGUACCUAAUCAGAAAGCCACGGCUAACUACGUG
This 497-nucleotide ribosomal RNA is filed under the name uncultured bacterium. RNAcentral's name for it is "partial 16S ribosomal RNA". It matches the Rfam family "Bacterial small subunit ribosomal RNA", at positions 28 to 507 of the family's 1533-position model. The record is from RNAcentral.